This 538-nucleotide long non-coding RNA is filed under the name Linum usitatissimum (flax). RNAcentral describes it as "long non-coding RNA (LUSI_LNC006144)". Lineage: Eukaryota; Viridiplantae; Streptophyta; Magnoliopsida; Malpighiales; Linaceae. The record is from RNAcentral.
CAAGGCCAACAACGCUAGAGCUACUACUGGUGCCGGCGCCGCCGUUGUUCCUAAGAAUCGCCGCCGAUGAUGCCAUGUUUCUCGCCGGAACCAUCACUCCGGCUGGCAUGCUUUCCCUUCAAAAAGCUCUUCAAACCCUAGACACCCUUUUCUCUCUUUCCUCUUUAUAUAUAUAGAGUUCCAAGAUUUUGUCUUUGGAAGGUGGAAAAAAACACACAAGAGUAGACCAAAGGAGCUGACUUUUUAACUUCUACCCACUCUACUAUCUUUUUAUCUUCUCCCCACUCUCUCUCUCUCUCUCUCUCUCUCUCUCUCUCUCUCUAUCUCAAACUAUCUACACAAACGAUAUUAAGAAAAAAUGAGAGCAAACCCUAGAAACCCUUUUGGAAAGUGUACGUGGGUUGAUUGAUUUUGGGGUCAAAGGAUCGAUCUUUGUCGUCUUCAUGGAUGGAGGGUUCUGGUUUUUUUCUGGGUUUUGGAGGUUGGAGAUGAACUUUGAAGGUAUUGGGGAAGAAGAUGAAGAAGAGAGAGAGAUGAA